ACCCUCUCAGGAUCGUACCUGGCGAGUUCUUAGUACUCUACCAGUCUCAGCUAUGAGAGGAAGAGUCAAGCGGAGACCUACCCUUUCCAUUCCUAGCUUGGGCAGUGGCUAGCAAGUGGAAGGCAAUCUGCUACAGGU
Molecule: non-coding RNA, 138 nt
Organism: Ornithorhynchus anatinus (platypus)
Lineage: Eukaryota; Metazoa; Chordata; Mammalia; Monotremata; Ornithorhynchidae
Source: Rfam